This is a long non-coding RNA of Lycium barbarum (goji berry), 6499 nucleotides long. RefSeq lists it as uncharacterized. The transcript has 3 exons. Lineage: Eukaryota; Viridiplantae; Streptophyta; Magnoliopsida; Solanales; Solanaceae. The record is from RefSeq and is a predicted model, not a curated record.
AGAAUGAGUUAAGAAGGUUCAAGGAAAGUUAAUCGAGUUAGUAAGAAUAUCGUUAUAUAUACAUGGUUUCCUUAAGUAUCCCAAGGCGACACGGUUACCUAAAGGGUGUGGAAUCGCGCUAUGAGUAUGUAUAUGAAGUAAUGCGAGUGACCUUUUAAAGUAUUUGAGAUUAUUAGUAAUGAUAUAGAGGGUGGACAAAAGAUAUGAAUAUACUUUUGCGAUUGGAGUUUCGUCAAAGCUUUGUGAGUUCUCUAGUUAUGUUUAAGGUUAUUGUGAGUCUCUGGACCCUUCAAGAUGUGUAUAUGGAUUUUUUUAUUGAUGUAUAUAAGUGUGUAUAUGUAUGCAUAAGAGGUUACAUAAGGUUGGAAGAGGAUUAGAAGUUAAACGAAAUGAAUCGGAACAACUUCAGUAAAAUUUCGGACCCGAUUUUAGUCUAUAUUGUAGGAGGCAUAUCUCCUUGAAUAUGAGGAGUUUUAAGGUGUUUCAAAAUCCUAAAAUGAAGUUCAUCGAGUCUAGUUUGUAAUGCAACAAACCGCUCGUCAAAAUGAUAUCGGGAUAAGGAGAUAUGGACGAUGCAAGUUGGGCUGGCAGGGCAGCAAGUUUGGACCCGACCUAAACACUCACAUUUCGGCCCAUGAGGCCCAUUAAACUCAAUAGAUAAGUCACCACUUUGCCCUAUAUCAUUUCACACGACCUAAAACAGAUCCAAAACCCUUAUUUUCUCUCCCAAACCCCCUUUCUAAUUGAGCCAUCAUAUAAGCUAAAUCCUAGACCCUUGACAUGAUAUUAGUUAAAGAGAAGUUGUAGCUUAAGUUUUUUUUUGUGUUGUUAAGCAAGCAGCUGGAAAGAGGAACAAGAUUCUUGAAGAUUCUGAUUGCUAAAGGUAAUUUCAACCUCCCACUCAUGUUAUCAAUUUGGAUUAAAGGUUUAAUAUGGUGUAUACGUGAAGGAAACGUUGAUAUACAAGCUAGAGAGAGAGAGAGCAUAAGCCAUGGCAUUCGGCCAUGGCUAGCAAAAUUGGAGCUCAAAUUUGUUGAUCCAAAAAUCAGAUUUUCUAGGUAUUUCAGCCCUUAGGAAGGUGAUAAUAACGUGGAGAAUUCAUUUGGAGCAACAAGAACAAGUAUUAGUGCAUUUCACAAAUUCUAACUAAGUGGAAAAAGCCAACUUGUUAAGACCUUGGGGAGCCCGAGGCGUAGAUUGGAAUUUACUUUAGAUUGGCUAUCUUGGAGUGCGUACGAGGUAUGUAAAGCGCAACCCUUCUUUCUUUUGGCAUGCCUUAGUUUUCAAUAGGCUAUAUCACGAGCCUCGAGGAAAUUCCAAAUUCGAAAUCCGAGCACGUUAUGAUCCUUAUAUAUAUUUCUUGGCAUUCUUAUGUAUGUUGUGAUGAAGUAUGAACAAUUAUGUCUUCGAAAGCAUUGAUUUCCAAACUUUGUACAAAAAGUUGUUUUAAAGAAUUCCGUAACUACGAAAUGCCAUAUCUUUUGCAUAAAGGCUCGGAUUGCUCCAAUAUUUUCAUAAGAGUUUGCAUGAUGUAUAAUGAGUAUGUUUUCCAUGAGCGGGCCCGAUUCGGGUCGAUACCCGUUCGUGGGUCCCGCGACUUUUCUUUAUGUAAUUCGGACGACUUUUGAAAGAAUUUGGUAUGAUUAUCAUUUCGAAUUUCAAAUAUGAUCAUUUUACUUAUGUUUGAAUUUAUGAUAAUGAUUUUAUGCAUAUGACUACUCUAUUAACUACUAAACAAAAAUUGUUUUAAAUAGUUCAUUAAGUCUUAUAAAUUGUUUUGGCCCUCGGAACGACUUCAGAAAGGUAUGCUUCUGUAAUUCAUUAUGACAUCCGAAACUCACUUAUUAUGAUCCCGUCUGACUUCAUUGAAUUGGUUUGCCAUUGAUAUGCCUCAUCGAGUCUCUGAAAAUAUUUAUGAUAUUUUAACUGCAUUUAGUUUCUCACUACUCUAUUCGUGGAUGCCCCAAUGUUUCCCACACUGAGCCCGGGCCAGGAUAUGUUGUCAAGCGUAAUCCUCUGCAUUGUUCGCCGUGCCUCGAUGUGAGGGGGCAGGUAUACGUGUACAUGGGUUUGUGGAGUAUGCUGUGUCAUGUACACAUGUUCUGAUAUGAUUUGCCAUGGCCAUCUGAUAUGAUAUACUAUGUUACGGGGUUAUGCCCCUAUUCUGAUUCUUCUGUGUUGUGGCACCAGCGUCGGGAGGGUGGCCACGUUCUGUUUGCCGAGUCCCUUGGCAGGGGCCGGAUUUGAUAUGACAUAUGUUUCUGUACACACUCCGCAUGUUUUGAAGAUAUGUAUUUGAUACUUUGGAUUUUCUACUCACUUUUUCUGUACGUUCUGUACCAGUUAUGAUUUUGGUUCUGUAAUUCAGGCUUUACAUAUUCAGUACAUAUUUCGUACUGACCCCCUUUCUUCGGGGGCUGCGUUUUCAUGCCGCGCAGGUACCGACGACAGGUUUGCUGAUCCGUCCGUCUAGGAUAUCUUUUCUGCCAUUUGGAGCGCUCUUUUAUUCAGAGCCCAUCUUUUGGUACAGUCUGUCACUACUGUAUAUAUAUAUAUAUAUUCUCGUUCAUGGGUACGGCGGGGCCCUGUCCCGUUAUAUGAUUCCGUCGGUCUGUUUAGAGGUCUGUAGACAUGUUUGUGGGUUAGGGUCUUUCUGUACGGAUGCGUGUAUAUGUUGUGUUUGGGCGAUCUCAUUCGCCGCGGCGGCCGGUCCGCAUAUGUUUAAAUGUUGCUUUGUUGGCCCUGGGUGGUCAUUGUUGGUAUUAUCUGUGCGCAGGGUUAAUUUGGAUAGUCUGUAAAACAAAGGAAACUCUGCCGAAAUUUUUCUGGAAAUUAUCUAAAUAUUGAAAUAUAGCCUUGUCGGCUUCUGCUAUAUACUUGAAUGCGUUUGAUAAUAUUCGUUCUCAACUCUGUUUAAAAAUGAUGAUUUAGUUUGUAUGUCCGUUUGGGUGCCCAAGUAGGGCACCAGUCGCGGCCCACGGGGCUGGGUCGUGACAGAAGUGGUAUCAGAGCAGUUCGUCCUCGGAAUGUCUACAGACCGUGUCUAGUAGAGUCUUGUUUAUCGGUGUGUUGUGCACCACAUCUAUAAACAUGAGGCUACAGGACAUUUAGGGUGUUGCCUUUUUUUCAUAUCUAAGAUCGUGCGAUAGAGCCCAGUCAUAGGAAAUGAAAUUCUUUAUACUAACAUUUGAUUUCAACUGAAGAACGACAUCGACAGAAGAAAGUGAUUGAUGAUAUUGAAAGUUUCAAAGUACGCAGGUAAGCAAAGGUACGAAAGGUAUAAGUCGAGUAAGGUAUGGAAGUGCGAUUGAAAUGUAAAGUUGAAAAUUGAAAGAGAAAGAAUAACAGGUGCAGUUUGAGUUGGGCAUACGAGGUAUGUUCAUCACUUUUAUACUGUUGUUAAUAUUGGGAGCCCUGUGUGGCUAUGAUAUGAUAUGAUGUGUAUAUACGUAUAAAUGUUGUCCCUGUGAGGCAUUGUUGGUAUUUCCUGCGUGGAGGUUUUGGGAUAGUAAGAAGUACAGAGAAAACUCUGCCCAAAUUUUCCCAGAAAUAGAAAAAGAGAAUGAGACAUAGGUUUGUAAUAUGUUUUGAAAGGUUGUGUCAAUAGUAAGGAUAUGAUUUGACUAAUUUGCCAAUAUGGCUGACCUCGAGAAAUAAGUUGACUGCCGAAUCGAUGGUAAUAGUAAUUGGGAAGUCGAUAUCGAUAUGGUAAAAAGAAUAAUUUGGAAAGGGUUUAUGAUACUAAGAGAUGAUUUAGAAAAAGGCUGGAUAAUCUUGAUAAAGUGUUAUAGUAAGGUACCGACUGAAUUGAUAAGCAAGGAAAAAAAAUUAUGACGAGUUUAUAGUAAAAGAAGUAGUAGUAUGAUUAAGAUGAGAGUACAGAGGAAAAUGAAUUGUGACGGAUGCGAAUGUAUUGGUAAAACAGGCUGUGAGGUUGUGAAGGAUAAGAUUGACUAGGAACGGUGAAAGGUUAAGUAUGCUUAUACAACACUAAUGUAACAUUCGAGGACGAAUGUUCCUAAGGGGGGAAGAAUGUUACACUCCAUAAUAAUCUGUGCUACUUGUAUUAAAACAAGAAAGAAUGAGUUAAGAAGGUUCAAGGAAAGUUAAUCGAGUUAGUAAGAAUAUCGUUAUAUAUACAUGGUUUCCUUAAGUAUCCCAAGGCGACACGGUUACCUAAAGGGUGUGGAAUCGCGCUAUGAGUAUGUAUAUGAAGUAAUGCGAGUGACCUUUUAAAGUAUUUGAGAUUAUUAGUAAUGAUAUAGAGGGUGGACAAAAGAUAUGAAUAUACUUUUGCGAUUGGAGUUUCGUCAAAGCUUUGUGAGUUCUCUAGUUAUGUUUAAGGUUAUUGUGAGUCUCUGGACCCUUCAAGAUGUGUAUAUGGAUUUUUUUAUUGAUGUAUAUAAGUGUGUAUAUGUAUGCAUAAGAGGUUACAUAAGGUUGGAAGAGGAUUAGAAGUUAAACGAAAUGAAUCGGAACAACUUCAGUAAAAUUUCGGACCCGAUUUUAGUCUAUAUUGUAGGAGGCAUAUCUCCUUGAAUAUGAGGAGUUUUAAGGUGUUUCAAAAUCCUAAAAUGAAGUUCAUCGAGUCUAGUUUGUAAUGCAACAAACCGCUCGUCAAAAUGAUAUCGGGAUAAGGAGAUAUGGACGAUGCAAGUUGGGCUGGCAGGGCAGCAAGUUUGGACCCGACCUAAACACUCACAUUUCGGCCCAUGAGGCCCAUUAAACUCAAUAGAUAAGUCACCACUUUGCCCUAUAUCAUUUCACACGACCUAAAACAGAUCCAAAACCCUUAUUUUCUCUCCCAAACCCCCUUUCUAAUUGAGCCAUCAUAUAAGCUAAAUCCUAGACCCUUGACAUGAUAUUAGUUAAAGAGAAGUUGUAGCUUAAGUUUUUUUUUGUGUUGUUAAGCAAGCAGCUGGAAAGAGGAACAAGAUUCUUGAAGAUUCUGAUUGCUAAAGGUAAUUUCAACCUCCCACUCAUGUUAUCAAUUUGGAUUAAAGGUUUAAUAUGGUGUAUACGUGAAGGAAACGUUGAUAUACAAGCUAGAGAGAGAGAGAGCAUAAGCCAUGGCAUUCGGCCAUGGCUAGCAAAAUUGGAGCUCAAAUUUGUUGAUCCAAAAAUCAGAUUUUCUAGGUAUUUCAGCCCUUAGGAAGGUGAUAAUAACGUGGAGAAUUCAUUUGGAGCAACAAGAACAAGUAUUAGUGCAUUUCACAAAUUCUAACUAAGUGGAAAAAGCCAACUUGUUAAGACCUUGGGGAGCCCGAGGCGUAGAUUGGAAUUUACUUUAGAUUGGCUAUCUUGGAGUGCGUACGAGGUAUGUAAAGCGCAACCCUUCUUUCUUUUGGCAUGCCUUAGUUUUCAAUAGGCUAUAUCACGAGCCUCGAGGAAAUUCCAAAUUCGAAAUCCGAGCACGUUAUGAUCCUUAUAUAUAUUUCUUGGCAUUCUUAUGUAUGUUGUGAUGAAGUAUGAACAAUUAUGUCUUCGAAAGCAUUGAUUUCCAAACUUUGUACAAAAAGUUGUUUUAAAGAAUUCCGUAACUACGAAAUGCCAUAUCUUUUGCAUAAAGGCUCGGAUUGCUCCAAUAUUUUCAUAAGAGUUUGCAUGAUGUAUAAUGAGUAUGUUUUCCAUGAGCGGGCCCGAUUCGGGUCGAUACCCGUUCGUGGGUCCCGCGACUUUUCUUUAUGUAAUUCGGACGACUUUUGAAAGAAUUUGGUAUGAUUAUCAUUUCGAAUUUCAAAUAUGAUCAUUUUACUUAUGUUUGAAUUUAUGAUAAUGAUUUUAUGCAUAUGACUACUCUAUUAACUACUAAACAAAAAUUGUUUUAAAUAGUUCAUUAAGUCUUAUAAAUUGUUUUGGCCCUCGGAACGACUUCAGAAAGGUAUGCUUCUGUAAUUCAUUAUGACAUCCGAAACUCACUUAUUAUGAUCCCGUCUGACUUCAUUGAAUUGGUUUGCCAUUGAUAUGCCUCAUCGAGUCUCUGAAAAUAUUUAUGAUAUUUUAACUGCAUUUAGUUUCUCACUACUCUAUUCGUGGAUGCCCCAAUGUUUCCCACACUGAGCCCGGGCCAGGAUAUGUUGUCAAGCGUAAUCCUCUGCAUUGUUCGCCGUGCCUCGAUGUGAGGGGGCAGGUAUACGUGUACAUGGGUUUGUGGAGUAUGCUGUGUCAUGUACACAUGUUCUGAUAUGAUUUGCCAUGGCCAUCUGAUAUGAUAUACUAUGUUACGGGGUUAUGCCCCUAUUCUGAUUCUUCUGUGUUGUGGCACCAGCGUCGGGAGGGUGGCCACGUUCUGUUUGCCGAGUCCCUUGGCAGGGGCCGGAUUUGAUAUGACAUAUGUUUCUGUACACACUCCGCAUGUUUUGAAGAUAUGUAUUUGAUACUUUGGAUUUUCUACUCACUUUUUCUGUACGUUCUGUACCAGUUAUGAUUUUGGUUCUGUAAUUCAGGCUUUACAUAUUCAGUACAUAUUUCGUACUGACCCCCUUUCUUCGGGGGCUGC